GUGAAUCAUCAAAUCUUUGAACGCAAAUUGCACUCUCUGCGGAGAGUAGGCCUAUUUGAGUGUCAGCCUAAAAAAAAAUCAACAUAUUCGCUGUUUCGCCGUGACAUUCGUCGGAAAUUGGGGCAUCUUAAACCUUUUGGUUUUGAGCAGCUUGAAAUUUUCUUUACGUUUCCUGGCACGUUACUAAGAUUUAAUUCUUAUACGUUUAAGGUAUCGAUCGUUAGUAUACAUUU
This 233-nucleotide unclassified non-coding RNA is filed under the name Glomus sp. RNAcentral's name for it is "partial contains 5.8S ribosomal RNA and internal transcribed spacer 2". The stretch from base 1 to 65 matches the Rfam family "5.8S ribosomal RNA", at positions 84 to 154 of the family's 154-position model. The record is from RNAcentral. Lineage: Eukaryota; Fungi; Glomeromycota; Glomeromycetes; Glomerales; Glomeraceae.